UACGUAGGGGGCAAGCGUUGUCCGGAAUCAUUGGGCGUAAAGAGCGCGUAGGCGGUCCGGUAAGUCGGUUGUGAAAACUGGGGGCUCAACCCUCAGAGGCCGACCGAUACUGUCGGGCUAGAGUCCGGAAGAGGCGAGUGGAAUUCCUGGUGUAGCGGUGAAAUGCGCAGAUAUCAGGAGGAACACCAAUGGCGAAGGCAGCUCGCUGGGACGGUACUGACGCUGAGGCGCGAAAGUGUGGGGAGCGAACAGG
RNAcentral lists this ribosomal RNA (253 nucleotides) under uncultured bacterium. RNAcentral's name for it is "partial 16S ribosomal RNA". It matches the Rfam family "Bacterial small subunit ribosomal RNA", at positions 524 to 776 of the family's 1533-position model. The record is from RNAcentral.